AAAAAGUUAGUUAAACUAUAACAUAAGGUUGUCAGUCUUACGUUACUAAUUGAACUUAGUACUUUUUA
RNAcentral lists this transfer RNA (68 nucleotides) under Tritia sp. e LAG-2017. RNAcentral describes it as "tRNA-Asp". The record is from RNAcentral. Lineage: Eukaryota; Metazoa; Mollusca; Gastropoda; Neogastropoda; Nassariidae.